RNAcentral lists this ribosomal RNA (253 nucleotides) under uncultured bacterium. RNAcentral describes it as "partial 16S ribosomal RNA". It matches the Rfam family "Bacterial small subunit ribosomal RNA", at positions 524 to 776 of the family's 1533-position model. The record is from RNAcentral.
UACGAAAGGAGCAGGUGUUAUUCAGAUUAACUGGGCGUAAAGGGCGCGUAGGCGGUUAUAAAAGUUAGAUGUGAAAUCCCCGAGCUUAACUUGGGAACUGCAUUUAAGACUGUAUGACUAGAGUAGAAUAGAGGUAAGUGGAAUUUCCGGUGUAGCGGUGAAAUGCGUAGAUAUCGGAAAUAACACCAGUGGCGAAGGCGACUUACUGGAUUCAUACUGACGCUGAGGCGCGAAAGCAUGGGGAGCAAACAGG